Molecule: non-coding RNA, 73 nt
Organism: Zootermopsis nevadensis
Lineage: Eukaryota; Metazoa; Arthropoda; Insecta; Blattodea; Termopsidae
Source: Rfam
GCCACGGUGGUCUAGCGGUUAGAACGCUGGCCAUGUAAUCCUGGGGUCUCGGGUUCGAUUCCCGGCGGUGCCC